Molecule: long non-coding RNA, 6251 nt
Filed under: Olea europaea (common olive)
Lineage: Eukaryota; Viridiplantae; Streptophyta; Magnoliopsida; Lamiales; Oleaceae
Description: long non-coding RNA (OEUR_LNC008443)
Source: RNAcentral
AACUAUAACCUUAUAUCGGUGUGCUUUUGCAUCGAUCCUGGACGCUUACACUUUUUUUGAUUGAAUGUGCACAGGCACUCGGGUUGUUGACUCUAUCUGCCAUGCUUAAUAGUGAAAGACCUAAUCACCUUCGAGUUUUCUUCUUCUUCUUCUCACUAUAUUUGGUGGCAGUCAGUCAAGGUUUGCAAAAACCCGGUAUCAUGGCUUUCGGGGCCGACCAGUUUGACGAACAAGAUGCCGAAGAAAGAAGAGGCCGAAGCUCGUUUUUCAAUUGGAUCUAUUUUAGUUCAGUUGCAGGUCCUUUCACUGCAGUUUUGGUCUUGAAUUACGUUCAAGAUAACGUUAGUUGGAGUCUUGGAUUUGGGAUUCCAUGCAUUUCAAUGGCAGUUUCAUUGGCCAUAUUCUUGUUCGGAACUAGAUCUUAUCGAUAUACAAUCAAAGUCGAGGAGAAUCACCCACUCUGGAGGAUUAGUCGAGUGUUUGUCCAAGCAGCUAUAAAUUGGAGGACCAAAUCUUCCACCAGUGUUUACAAUGUAGAAGGGGAAGAAACAGUGCCUCAACUAUGUUCCCAACAAUUCAAGUAAGAUCUGAGUUUCUCGUGUAUGGAACGCCCCCCACCUCCAAAAAAGAGCUCAUCUAUUUUUUAUUUAGUAAUUUCAGUAUCGAUUGGUGGAUUGCGUAGAGCCUAAUUCUAAUGUUCGCUUUCCCUUCGAGCACAGAUUGACAUAGAUUCCUACAUUAUAAAUAAGAAUCUAUGUCUGAAAAAUGAGGGGAUGCGAUUCUCCUUUUUCGACUUCUUUCUUAUUAGUAGUGACAUUUCACUUCUUCAAUAUGUUAGUAUUGUUCGACUUUCCUUGCUUAAGCGUCGUGCUAUUCACUUUCGUGUAACUGGUCCACGACAGGUUUCUUAACAGAGCUUUGCUUGCACCAGAUGGUUCGCGAGAGUAUGAGGAAGCAAGCAGCAUAAGUGAAAUCGAAGAGGCAAAAACACUUUUAAGGUUGAUUCCUAUGUGGGUAACAUCUUUAGGAUAUGCUAUUGUCUUGUCUCAAACUUCGACUCUAUUUACCGAACAAGGAAUAACGAUGGACAGAUCCAUCAGUUCAAGCAUCGAUAUACCGGCUGCAUCACUGCAAUGCGUAAUCGGUUUUUCAGUUAUUCUCUUAGUUCCAAUUUAUGACUUUGUUUUCGUGCCGAUUGCUAGAAGUAUAACGGGAAGUCACUCGGGCAUAACAAAGCUGCAAAGAAUCGGAAUGGGAAUGGUUUUUUGCAUUUCUUCCAUGGUUAUUGCAGCACUCGUGGAGAGAAAAAGACUGGAAACUGCUCGGGUGUAUGGACUGGUCGACUCGCCUAAAGAAAAGGUACCUAUGAGUUUUUGGUGGUUAGUGCCUCAAUAUAUACUAUGUGGGGUGACUAAUAUUUUCACACUGGUCGGAUUGCAAGAACUAUUCUAUGAUGAGGUACCCUGCAAAUUGAAAAGUGUAGCUCUUUCAUUAUUUUUAAGUAUUUUUGGCAUUGGUGAGUUCAUGAGCAGUUUUCUCAUAUCCAUAAUCGAUAAUCUUACUCAUCGAGCCGAUGGAUAUGGUUGGUUUUCGAGUAACACGAACCGGGCACAUCUAGACUACUUCUAUUGGUUACUUGCUGGACUUAAUGCCCUGGAGCUUCUUGCAUUCUUGUACUUCUCAAAAUCUUACAACUAUAAUGGAGAUCAAGGUAUCAUUAUAUGAUUGUUAACCAUAGUCGAUUUGCAGCUAUAUGUGAAUGUAUUACUAGGUUAGAUUCAUGUCCCCUUUACACUUUUUUUCCCGAUAAACUAGUCAAUUUAUCGACGUCGAAAGCCUAUGUAUUUAUUAGAAGAUUUGUCGGAAUUUAAUAUAGAAUUUGCAUGUUCUAUUUAGGCUAGCUUAAAAAUGUUGAACUAUGUGUGAACUACUAUUUGGCUAUGUUAUUAGAACUCGGGUUGGUCCAAUUUGACACGUACGAAAAGAGAGAUUAGCAUGAAUGGCACUAAAAGGGCUAUUUAACGAUUUAGCCUCUGUUUGAGCCAUAUUUUCAAGGAAAAAAGUAGAAAAAUUUGACCCUCUUUUUCAAACACAGGUCUCAUUUAAGAGAGAUGAAGUCAAAUAUGAUGGUUGAAAUUGGUCUCCAACGAUCAAAAUUCUCAUUUUUUUUUUGUUGCUAAAAAUAUGGUUCAAACAGGGGUAUAAUAGAUUUUCUACAAAGGUUUUAGUUUUUGUACCACUUUUGUGGCUCCUGCCAAUACAAGACACAAAUGCUAUCUUUCAAUCUUGGAUUUAAUCUUUAUCUACUCAACAAUUCACUUUACUGCGAAAAAUUACGACCAAAUUUGUAUCUUCAUUGACUCACUUGUUCUUUAAAACGUGUUUUUUUUUUUUUUUCAAAUUCACUUUAAAUAACACGCUUCCAAUAAAUAAUUUUGCACAUAAAUUCAAUUUUAUUUUUCAUUUUUUUAAUUUUGAAUCACAUAUAUUCUCCAAAAAAAUUAUUAAAUUUAACUUCAAGAAAUGAAGCUCAAACAAUGACCAAAUAUAUAGGCAAUUUUAGUACAGCCGUGCUAGAGGUCCCAACUCCGGGACCAACCCAAAAACAGGGGGUUGAGGUGGCAUCACCUCAACCCUCGAUUUCAACUUCAUUUUUUUUUUCAGAUUCAAGGAUCUAGGUGUUACCACCUCGGUACCCUAGAUUUUGGUCGGUCCCUGAGUUGGGACAAGUUGCAUUUCCCAUUUUAGUAUAGUGUUACUUUACUCGUCACCUUUACGAGUGGCAUGUAAAUUUGUGUCGGAUUUUUUUGCCCCAGGCGAUAAUUUAUCAUGAGGCUCCUACACAUAAUUUUUUUACAAGCAUAUUGGCAUCAAACUUGGCCGAAUCGAAUAGUUUCUCAUAAUAAGAAAUAUUAUAUCUUUGAUACUCACUCAUCAUUUGAAUGGAUCGAGAAUCAAUUCUGUUUUCAAGAAGUAUAAUAUAAAGAUUUUAUGAAAAUUAGUGAGAUACGGGGAGCGCCUACUAUUUAUUAUCAAAAAUAUCUUAUAUUUAAAAAAAAAAUCAAAAGCAGCAAUAAAUUGAAAGACGUUAUUGGUAGAAAGGCCCCUACUUUAUUUGUACUACCAUAAAAUAUCUAUGUAAGAAAAUUGAGGAAAUUUCGUAAUAGUUAUUUUUGGGCUUUGGAAAACUUUUUGAGGCCCCAUUUCAUCUUGAGGCCCAAGGCCACCAAAUCAACGAGUCAAGAUUGUAAAUAGAUAAAGAUAUACUUUCAAAUCAAUAGAUCGGGAUGUAAAUAACUAAAUAUGUUAUUUCAAACCAACUAGUCGAUGUUAAUACUAUAAACAGCAGAUGUUUUAAUUGAAAUAAUGUGUCUGAAUGUAGUCAUUGUUUUUAUGUAUAUCUAUGAAUAUUGUUUUCAAAAGACUAUAUUGUUUUAGUGGUUAUUUUUAAUUUUUUUGCCAACUAAAAUUGUUAUACCAUACUAAAAUACGAACAUUUUCUAAAAUUAGGAUCCCAUAAUAAUUUACGUUGAACUAAUAGAUAUGGUUGAAUAGUGAUCGUUCUCAUGAGGGGACUACUAUAAUAUUUUCGACAAUUUAGCCUCCUUUUGAGAAUAAUUCAUAAAUUCGUCAUUACGGCUUUUAUUUAUAACUUAAACUUUAUCGUUUUCCAACCUUAACUAUAGGAGACUCGAACCUAAAUCAAGUCAAUGACUUGAUAAGAUGUUACCACUAGAGCUAGACUUCAAUCUCAUCAUUGAUCAUUACUUAUUGUUCAAGCAAUCGUGUAUACGUAUUGUUACGAAUAGUAUAGCCCCAAAGUUCUCUUCAAAACUAUGUCUACACAUAAAAUGAGUCGAGAUGUCUUGGUUCAACCACUUUACACUAAAAGAGGAAAUUAGGCUAGGUACGGCCUGACUUGUUCAAUUCUUGAGUCAGUUUCAGCAUUGUGCAUGAGUGAGUUGUACAGAGGAGUACUACUCAAUGUCUAUUUCUUCAGCCGAAUUUCAGAGCACUGAAAAUGUCGCCAUUGACGACACUGUCGCCGGCAUGCUUGAUUACUCCGGCCAGCCGGCCAAGAGAUCAAAAUCGGGAUACUGGCGAUCUGCCUAUUUCACUACAGGUAACUGCUUUUUCUUUUUUUGUUUCUUUUUUCUUUUGAGGCUUUUCAAGAAUGUCCAAUUUUAAGGGUUUGAGUUGUAAAGUUCCACUCAUUUGAAUCUAGUGUUAACUUGUCUAUCAUGCUCUUAAUGAAAAAAUGGAGCAAUUGAAUGUCGUUCUCAACAUUUGAUUUUUUUUUUCAAUUUUUCACGAAUUUCGAGAAAUAUUUUUUAUGAAAAGUUACAUUAAAAUAAUGUUUCUCGAUAUUUCAUAUAUAAUUCUCGACAUUUGAACACCGUUUCAUUUGUUUAGAAUGACAUUUCAUUUUGAAUAUGACAUUUCUCUACAUUUGAAAUGCAGUUCUCGACAUUUCUUAGUCAAUGAAAAACAUAGCAUUUAUUGUGAUUUGACAUGUAUGCUUUUGAAAUAAAUAUGGCUGGUUAUAUGUCAAAAUUUUAUUGGCCAAUAAUAAUUUUGCAAAAAUGUCCAUUUUUAUCUUAUUGUGGAAUUAUAAAUUGUUAAUAGGGGUAUUUUGGUCUAAAUUCUUUCAAAAUAGACAUUUUUGCAAUGGUGGACAUUUUUGCAAAUGACUAGGUGAAAAUGGACAUCCUGUGAAAUUUCCUCUUUUCUUUUUCUAUGCAUGCAUCUAUUCUUAUAAGGUUGUUAUUUACAAAAAUGGUACACAACACAACCGUGACAUAUUUGGCAGGCAGAGUUGAUAACAUUCGACAAUAUGAAGGAGAGAAAAAGAAACUAAGCCCAUGUUCGGUAGGAUUAAAAUCGAAUUUUUUAAUAGAUUUUGAUAAAAGUUGAUGAAAUUUAUGAUUAAAAAGUUGUGGAUCUCGUGAAAUAUUUAGUUAAAAUUAAUUGUUUACUUUGAAUUAGGAUUUAAAUCUAGACAUUAAUUCUUACCAAACAAGGGUUAAAAUUUGUUGGAUUAUAAUUGUGGCCUCUACACGUUGCAUGAUUCAAAUUUGUUUAACCAUCAACAUUAUCGAGUACUGUGUACCAUUUUAUGCUUAAGCUAAGUUGAAGUUAGAUUUGAAUAAAUAACUUUUUCUAUUUCUAGUUGUUCAUAUAAACUUUUAGAUAAGUUGAUUCGAAAUAAAAUGAGCCUUAAUGCUUACUAUUUAGUUAUAAUUCAUGGCUAAUUUAGGUGUUAUAAUUUUGAAGUGAAGAAACUUUCUCUAGAUCAAAUUGUUAUUUAUUAGCGAGAAUCAUCCCCCUAUGAUUCUUCAAGAAUGGUGUAACGGCUCUGGUUUUUUUUUCCUAAUGAUACUAAGUAUUAUUCAAGGAUCACCGCUUCGACGCUUUAUUUAUAUAUAUUUAUAUCUUCAGUAUGUUCAAAAUCAUGACAAGAAGUUCAAACUGAAUGACAGGUGCCACGGUGGCAGAGAAAUUUGCUUAUUUUGGAAUAAGUUCCAACAUAAUAACCUAUCUUUCGGGGCCUCUUAGGCAGCCGACGGCAAUGGCAGCUGCCGAAGUGAAUAUAUGGUCAGGCACUGGCCUUCUAAUGCCACUUUUGGGUGGUUUUGUAGCUGAUUCAUUUGUGGGUCGAUAUUGGACCAUUGUUUUUUCUUCAGUGGUCUACAUUUUGGUUAGUAUCCAAUUUAAUGUUUUCUCAAAUAUAAUCAUGGUUUAAUUGCAUUGUAUUUCAGUGCAAAAGUAAAUUUUAUAGCAUUUCUUGUCACAUAUGGUUCUAUCCAAUCUUGAAUAAAAGAAUGAUGCAAAAGGUAUAUUUACAUUUUCGGAGCUAGUUCGGAUAAGUCGUACAUAAGGAACGUCGAAGAGCAUGCUUCGUUCAAUCGAGCCCAAUACUGUGUUCCAAAUAUGCACUAAAUGUCAUGUAGACUUCAUCAUUAUGAUGUGUACCCAACUAUAACCUUAUAUCGGUGUGCUUUUGCAUCGAUCCUGGACGCUUACACUUUUUUUGAUUGAAUGUGCACAGGCACUCGGGUUGUUGACUCUAUCUGCCAUGCUUAAUAGUGAAAGACCUAAUCACCUUCGAGUUUUCUUCUUCUUCUUCUCACUAUAUUUGGUGGCAGUCAGUCAAGGUUUGCAAAAACCCGGUAUCAUGGCUUUCGGGGCCGACCAGUUUGACGAACAAGAUGCCGAAGAAAGAAGAGGCCGAAGCUCGUUUUUCAAUUGGA